CCUACGAGAGGCAGCAGUGGGGAAUAUUGCACAAUGGGGGAAACCCUGAUGCAGCGACGCCGCGUGAGUGAAGAAGUAAUUCGUUAUGUAAAGCUCUAUCAGCAGGGAAGAAAAUGACGGUACCUGAGUAAGAAGCCCCGGCUAACUACGUGCCAGCAGCCGCGGUAAUACGUAGGGGGCAAGCGUUAUCCGGAUUUACUGGGUGUAACGGGAGCGUAGACGGCAGUGCAAGUCUGGAGUGAAAGGCGGGGGCUCAACCCCCGGACUGCUCUGGAAACUGUACGGCUGGCGUGCAAGAGAGGUAAGUGGAAUUCCUAGUGUCGCGGUGAAAUGCGUAGAUAUUAGGAGGCACCCCAGUGGCGAAGGCGGCUUACUGGACUGUAACUGACGUUGAGGCUCGAAAGCGUGGGGAGCAAACAGGAUUAGAUACCCUUGUAGUC
This 440-nucleotide ribosomal RNA is filed under the name uncultured bacterium. RNAcentral's name for it is "partial 16S ribosomal RNA". It matches the Rfam family "Bacterial small subunit ribosomal RNA", at positions 338 to 795 of the family's 1533-position model. The record is from RNAcentral.